CUACGGGUGGCAGCAGUGGGGAAUCUUGCGCAAUGGGCGAAAGCCUGACGCAGCAACGCCGCGUGCGGGAUGACGGCCUUCGUGGUUGUAAACCGCUUUCAGCAGGGACGAAAAUGACGGUACCUGCAGAAGAAGCUCCGGCUAACUACGUCCCAGCAGCCGCGGUAAUACGUAGGGGGCAAGCGUUGUCCGGAAUCAUUGGGCGUAAAGAGCUCGUAGGCGGUUCAGUAAGGCGGGUGUGAAAGCUCCGAGCUCAACUCGGAGAGGCCACUCGAUACUGCUGUGACUAGAAUCCAGUAGGGGAGUGUGGAAUUCCUGGUGUAGCGGUGAAAUGCGCAGAUAUCAGGAGGAACACCAGCGGCGAAGGCGGCACUCUGGGCUGGUAUUGACGCUGAGGAGCGAAAGUGUGGGUAGCAAACAGGAUUAGAUACCCGGGUAGUC
Molecule: ribosomal RNA, 441 nt
Filed under: uncultured bacterium
Lineage: Bacteria
Description: partial 16S ribosomal RNA
Rfam family: Bacterial small subunit ribosomal RNA
Source: RNAcentral